GGCGUCUAAUACUGGAUAUGUGACGUGACCGCAUGGUCUGCGUUUGGAAAGAUUUUUCGGUUGGGGAUGGGCUCGCGGCCUAUCAGCUUGUUGGUGAGGUAAUGGCUCACCAAGGCGUCGACGGGUAGCCGGCCUGAGAGGGUGACCGGCCACACUGGGACUGAGACACGGCCCAGACUCCUACGGGAGGCAGCAGUGGGGAAUAUUGCACAAUGGGCGAAAGCCUGAUGCAGCAACGCCGCGUGAGGGAUGACGGCCUUCGGGUUGUAAACCUCUUUUAGCAGGGAAGAAGCGAAAGUGACGGUACCUGCAGAAAAUUUGCCGGCUAACUACGUGCCAGCAGCCGCGGUAAUACGUAGGGCGCAAGCGUUAUCCGGAAUUAUUGGGCGUAAAGAGCUCGUAGGCGGUUUGUCGCGUCUGCUGUGAAAUCCCGAGGCUCAACCUCGGGCCUGCAGUGGGUACGGGCAGACUAGAGUGCGGUAGGGGAGAUUGGAAUUCCUGGUGUAGCGGUGGAAUGCGCAGAUAUCAGGAGGAACACCGAUGGCGAAGGCAGAUCUCUGGGCCGUAACUGACGCUGAGGAGCGAAAGGGUGGGGAGCGAACAGGCUUAGAUACCCUGGUAGUCCACCCCGUAAACGUUGGGAACUAGUUGUGGGGUCCAUUCCACGGAUUCCGUGACGCAGCUAACGCAUUAAGUUCCCCGCCUGGGGAGUACGGCCGCAAGGCUAAAACUCAAAGGAAUUGACGGGGACCCGCACAAGCGGCGGAGCAUGCGGAUUAAUUCGAUGCAACGCGAAGAACCUUACCAAGGCUUGACAUAUACGAGAACGGGCCAGAAAUGGUCAACUCUUUGGACACUAAAAAACAGGUGGUGCAUGGUUGUCGUCAGCUCGUGUCGUGAGAUGUUGGGUUAAGUCCCGCAACGAGCGCAACCCUCGUUCUAUGUUGCCAGCACGUAAUGGUGGGAACUCAUGGGAUACUGCCGGGGUCAACUCGGAGGAAGGUGGGGAUGACGUCAAAUCAUCAUGCCCCUUAUGUCUUGGGCUUCACGCAUGCUACAAUGGCCGGUACAAAGGGCUGCAAUACCGUGAGGUGGAGCGAAUCCCAAAAAGCCGGUCCCAGUUCGGAUUGAGGUCUGCAACUCGACCUCAUGAAGUCGGAGUCGCUAGUAAUCGCAGAUCAGCA
Molecule: ribosomal RNA, 1184 nt
Filed under: Microbacterium sp. 153G
Lineage: Bacteria; Bacillati; Actinomycetota; Actinomycetes; Micrococcales; Microbacteriaceae
Description: bacterial SSU rRNA
Rfam family: Bacterial small subunit ribosomal RNA
Source: RNAcentral